This 293-nucleotide ribosomal RNA is filed under the name uncultured SAR92 cluster bacterium. RNAcentral's name for it is "partial 16S ribosomal RNA". It matches the Rfam family "Bacterial small subunit ribosomal RNA", at positions 505 to 797 of the family's 1533-position model. Lineage: Bacteria; Pseudomonadati; Pseudomonadota; Gammaproteobacteria; Cellvibrionales; Porticoccaceae. The record is from RNAcentral.
GUGCCAGCCGCCGCGGUAAUACGGAGGGUGCGAGCGUUAAUCGGAAUUACUGGGCGUAAAGCGCGCGUAGGUGGUUUGAUAAGCUAGCUGUGAAAGCCCCGGGCUCAACCUGGGAACUGCAGUUAGAACUGUCUGACUAGAGUACAGUAGAGGGUGGCGGAAUUUCCUGUGUAGCGGUGAAAUGCGUAGAUAUAGGAAGGAACAUCAGUGGCGAAGGCGGCCACCUGGACUGAUACUGACACUGAGGUGCGAAAGCGUGGGGAGCAAACAGGAUUAGAUACCCGCGUAGUCCC